UACGGGGGGGGCAAGCGUUGUUCGGAAUUACUGGGCGUAAAGGGCUCGUAGGCGGCCAACUAAGUCGGAUGUGAAAUCCCCAGGCUUAACCUGGGAACUGCAUCCGAUACUGGAUGGCUUGAAUCCGGGAGAGGGAUGCAGAAUUCCAGGUGUAGCGGUGAAAUGCGUAGAUAUCUGGAGGAACACCGGUGGCGAAGGCGGCAUCCUGGACCAAUUCUGACGCUGAGGAGCGAAAGCGUGGGGAGCGAACAGG
RNAcentral lists this ribosomal RNA (253 nucleotides) under uncultured bacterium. RNAcentral's name for it is "partial 16S ribosomal RNA". It matches the Rfam family "Bacterial small subunit ribosomal RNA", at positions 524 to 776 of the family's 1533-position model. The record is from RNAcentral.